RNAcentral lists this long non-coding RNA (212 nucleotides) under Elaeis guineensis (African oil palm). RNAcentral's name for it is "long non-coding RNA (EGUI_LNC000059)". The record is from RNAcentral. Lineage: Eukaryota; Viridiplantae; Streptophyta; Magnoliopsida; Arecales; Arecaceae.
UUCGCAAUGGUGAAUUAGGGGUAAAAAAAAAGGGGUUAAAGAUGGUGUGAAAAGAUUGAUUUAAUGUGUGUUUUCUUUUCUUUUCUUUUUUUUUUUGGUAAAGAAGACCGAUAAUUAUAUUAAAAUAAAAAGAAGCUUACAAACCGUUUGAGAACCAAAAACAGAACACUAUUACAUACAGCCAAAAACAGAGAACUUAUCACAUACAGGUA